CCCGCUCUCAGGGUGGAGAGCGACCGCACCUGUAGGACUCCGCUCUGCUCCUGGAAGCUGACCCACGCCUCCUCCGUCCGCUGCGAGUCCUGGGGUACCGGAGCCUCGAUCAGACUCCAGGGGACACACCGCUCCCUACCCGCCUGCACUGUCCAGGCUCCUUCACACCUGAAGGCGCCCCUCCCCAGGGUCCCGAGUCCACUCGCACCUGCCGCAGGCCCUCCGCCUGCAUGGCGUGCUUGGCCUCCACCAGCUCCAGCUGUUUCUACGCGAGGAGCCAAGAAAAGUCAGGGACUCGCUCGCCCGCAGCCAACAGGUGUCUCAGGGCCCCGCCCACACCAGCCCCCAGGAGUCGUGGCCCCGCCUCGCCCUUCAGGUCCCACCCUUCAGGCCCCGCCCAAGCACCUGCAGCUCCACCAGCCUCCAGCUGUUUCUGCACCCUCUCCGCGCGCUCCCUCACCGCCUCGCGCGCCUCCGCUCUUAGGGCUGGUGCCGCUUGACUUCGCCUCCGCUGUAGGCUGCGGAGGGAAACUGAAGCCGGUGCUACAGCCAGGGCGCGGGGCCCUCAGGAUCCUGCGACUUCUGUCUCCCCGGGAAGGACCGGCGCGGGCGGGGUUGGAGCAGAACUCGCCAGGUUCGGGACGUGCCGGGCGCCCCCCUUCCUUUCCCCGGACGUCUGACAGGGUCGUCCGAGUGUCCAGCAGCCUCGGUGGAACGUGCGGGCCCGGCGAGGCGGCCCUGUCGCCUUCGGCCGCCGCCCGCGAGCCCUACAGCUCCGCCGAGCGGCGCUCCCCGCGCACCUGCGCUCCUGCUCGCGCAGUUCGUGCAGGCGUCCGGCGAGGCUCUCGCUCUCGGCCUCCAGCCCGCGCACCAGCUCCUCUAGCUCUUGCUUCCGCAGGCGGCCGUCACGGUUGUCCUUCUGCAGCUGCAGCCGCUGCUCCUGCGCCUCGGCCAUGGCUCCCGGCACUCUGAGCAGACCCUGGCACAGGGCCGGGCCCCGAACUGCGGCCGGCGUCACAAUGGGUACCUGGGCGCUCUCAGAGGCGAGGCGGGCCAAAGGGUCACCCUUAGGCCAACAUUAAUAAAAGUUUUAUCAGAAAUUGAAGCAGGAGGAUCGCAAAUUCGAGCCCAACGUGGGCAACAUAGAGAUUUAUUGAGUCCUGUUUCAGAAUAAAAGGGCCGAGGCUGUAGCUCUGCGCGAAGGCCCUCGGCUCAACCUCAGUAACUGAGGGGAAAAAAAUAGAGAAAAGGAUUAUUAUCAAACAUGUUACCUCCUGGGCAAAAUCUCUGCUUAUUUUUUGUAUAAAUAUCUUUCCCAGCUGAGCGGCUCUCAAUUUUUUGUCUCAGGAUUCUUUCAUACUUUUGAGAAGUCAUUGAUCCCAAAAAGCUUUUAAGUAGAUAAUAUACCACAGUAUUCAAAUUAAAACUGAACAGUGUUUAAAAUAUUUAUUAAACCUUACGUAAUACUAUGAAAUUAUUUGCACAUAAAUGUUUUCAAAAACUAGAAUGAAAGUAAAUCUACAAAUCUAAUGUCUGAUUUAACAUGAAACAAUUGUUUCUUCUUUUACUUCAGUCUGCUGCUGCAUUCUGUCUGUUGGAAUAUGUUGCCUUGGUUGUGAUGAAGAAAACCUGGCCUCACAGAGAUAGUUGCUUGGAGACACAGAAAAGCCAUUCAAAAUGAACAAACUCCAGAACAAAUGCACGGAGAUGGCAGUUGAUAAGCUGACUCAUUUUGGGUAGAACAGUGGUCAUAAACUAAGCUGUUUGAGGGAUGGGAUACUGAAAGAGUAGGAUAUGGUUGGAUGUGGUGGUUAUACCUAUAAUCCCAGCAUUCUGGGAGGCUGAGGCAGGAGGAUUCCAAGUUUCUACUCUUUAACGGCUACUCCAAAAGAUUUUUCAAAAGGGAGAUUUUUCACCUGUCAGGACACUCAGCCCUGGGGAUGUAGACCAGCCACUGUGAGUCGGCCCCAUGGCCUUCUGAUGAUUUACCAUAUGCUGAAUCCUGAAAAAACUGGGCAUGCGGAGGCUAUGCCACAUGUGCCACUGAGUCAGGAGCCCAUUGUGCAGCAGGAGCCAGUGGAGUACAGCCAGCCAGAGUCUCACACACUGGAACCCACACCACACCAGACUCCAUGGACCAAGUGAUUGAUCACUUUCUCUUGGGCCAGGUUUGUCCUUUCUAGCAUCUCCAUCUUCACCUGAAAGGAACUGAGGCAGCAUAAAAAUUCACAGCAUCCUUGAGUAAUUCAGGGUAGAAAACAAAAAAUGUGUUUCCCAUAAUUGGUAAGAUCUCCGAUUUUUCUCCCCAGCAUAGCUCAUUUGAGAGCUCAGGCCCUUCUUAUGACUCAAGAUUAUUUUGGGGGUUCAAACAACAAACCUCUUCCUUGAGUUCUCUAUCCCCUCACCCCACUGGUCAGCCCAGACUCAGCCUCUCCCCAUCCUGAGCACAUAGCAGAGCAGAUUCUUUCAAAUGCAUCCCCUUCCAUUUCUUCCCUCAAUGGAAGUUUUAACAGUCUCUCAUCAUCAUUGUAAUUCAGUACAGAAUGAUUCUUGCUUUUGCAAAAUGAAGACACUUCUAUUUUCAUUGCUGGCCAAGGAAAAAAAACUAUAGUAUGUUAAUAUUUUCUGUCCCCCAAAAAUUCGUAUGUUGAAGCACUAAUCUCUAAAGUAACUGCUUUUGGAGAAAGGGCCUUAAAGAAAAUAAUUAAGAUUAAACGUGGUCAUAAAAAUGAGGCCAUGAUUCCAUCAAGUUGGUGUUCUUAUAUAAACAGGGUUUUGCACACCUGUAAUCUGAGCAUUGGAGGAGAGUAAGGCAGAAGGUUAGCAAAUUCAAAUCCCACCUGAGUAAUUUACCGAAACUGUGUUACAAUGAGAAAUAAGGCUGAGAUGUGGCUCAGUAAUAGAACCCUUGUGUUCAGUUUCUAGUACCAAAAAAUAAUGACACCAAACAGCUCACUCAUUGUUCUGUAUCUGUCUCUCUAUAUAUCUUCCCAAAGAGAAGAUCACGUGAGCACACAGAGAGAUGGCAAUCACAUAUAAACCAAGAGAGGAAACCUCAGAGUGACACCUACUGUAAUGGAAAUUUUAUAGCAAGAAAUUUUAAAAAUUAAUUAGUAACCUGUUAUUGUAUUAGGACAAGAUGUGCUUACCCCGCCUGUCACAUAAUUACACUGUUAAACCUAGUCACCCUUGACUGUGUCCAGCUGCUUUUCACAGAUACCCUAAUUCAGGUCAGCCUGUCCCAGUUCAGCUGCAAGUGCUAUAUUUUUCCACCUAAAAAUAUAGCCCAUUUUUCCAAUAUGCUUUAAGGACUUUCUACCUGGGACAAGAUAGCCCAAUCAAGGACAUACUUAACUCUACCUGCCCUGCUCAGCAGCCCCUUUCCUAGAAUUUCCCUGCCUCAUAAUAAACAAUUUAUUUUAGUUAAUUCUACCUGACAAUGUAUAACUUAAUUCAUGUAACCAAUUAUAUGAUAACCUGCUAUUAGCUUUUAUACUUCCUGCUUACAAAAUGUAUAUAAGUUUCUGUUUCUCUGUUAACCAGAGCUGAUGAUUUGUAACUGAUUCCCACUAGCCUAUUAGCAUAAUAAAUCAUUGCCUUCUAAACUCCUUGGUGAGAGGUGCCUUCCUUUUGGUUCAGUAACAGGUUUCUGCAACCCUACCUUGCUGGGACAUCCAGAGAUGGAUGGUUGGACAGGAGUCCUGACAUAAGCAGGUUGCAGGGAAUGGGGAAAGAUGAGGAUGAUAGCGGGGUAGUGACACAAUGCUAAUGCCUCACCUUUGUUUGAUAUCUCACCCACAUAGUUCUGAGGAAAUAUUUGAUUCCAGUGGCUUUUUGUGGAAGAUCACUAUCAGCAAAGGACACCCAGCCUCUCUGCAGAGGAAGAUGACUAAUUUCCUGGACUUAGAUUUUUUGUUGUUUUUCAAGUAUCUUGGGGUUCCUCAUUACGUUUUUUAUUUGAGCUUCCUUUUUUCUAAUGGAAGCAUUGAUUGCAAUAAUCUUUCCCUUUAGGGCUGUUUUCAUUGUGUCCCAUAGAUUUUGGUGUGUUGUACCAGCAUAGUUGUUUAUUUCCAGAAAUUAUUUAAUUUCUUCUUUGAUUACUUCUGUGCCCUAUUGGAUAUGUAGGUAUAUGUUAUUAAAUUUCUAAGUGUUUCUUAAUUUUCCGGGGCUUCUUUUGUGAUUGACUACUAGUUUCAUUGUACAAUGAUCUAAUAGGAAACACGGGGUAAUUUUGAUUCUUUUAUAUCUAUUUAAGCAGGAUUUGUGGACAAGUUCUGGUCUAUUUUGGAGAAAGUUUUAUGUGCUGCUGAGAAGAAUGUGUACUCUGUUGUAGUAGGGUAGAAGAACCCUCGAUAGAUAUCUAAUAAGUUUGUUUGUCAAGGGUGUGAUUUAG
Cavia porcellus (domestic guinea pig) is the source of this 4393-nucleotide long non-coding RNA. The record is from Ensembl. Lineage: Eukaryota; Metazoa; Chordata; Mammalia; Rodentia; Caviidae.